RNAcentral lists this ribosomal RNA (1383 nucleotides) under metagenome. RNAcentral's name for it is "bacterial SSU rRNA". It matches the Rfam family "Bacterial small subunit ribosomal RNA". The record is from RNAcentral.
CGGAACGUACCUUUCAGUGGGGGAUAACGUAGCGAAAGUUACGCUAAUACCGCAUAUUCUGUGAGCAGGAAAGCAGGGGAUCGCAAGACCUUGCGCUGAUUGAGCGGCCGAUAUCAGAUUAGCUAGUUGGUGAGGUAAAGGCUCACCAAGGCGACGAUCUGUAGCGGGUCUGAGAGGAUGAUCCGCCACACUGGAACUGAGACACGGUCCAGACUCCUACGGGAGGCAGCAGUGGGGAAUUUUGGACAAUGGGCGCAAGCCUGAUCCAGCCAUGCCGCGUGAGUGAAGAAGGCCUUCGGGUUGUAAAGCUCUUUCAGCCGGGGAAAACGCAUGGGUUAAUACCCUGUGUGGAUGACGGUACCGGAAUAAGAAGCACCGGCUAACUACGUGCCAGCAGCCGCGGUAAUACGUAGGGUGCGAGCGUUAAUCGGAAUUACUGGGCGUAAAGCGUGCGCAGGCGGUUUGUUAAGAUAGGCGUGAAAUCCCCGGGCUCAACCUGGGAACUGCGUUUAUGACUGGCAGGCUAGAGUAUGGCAGAGGGGGGGUGGAAUUCCACGUGUAGCAGUGAAAUGCGUAGAGAUGUGGAGGAACACCGAUGGCGAAGGCAGCCCCCUGGGCCAAUACUGACGCUCAUGCACGAAAGCGUGGGUAGCAAACAGGAUUAGAUACCCUGGUAGUCCACGCCCUAAACGAUGUCAACUAGGUGUUGGGAGGGUAAAACCUUUUAGUACCGGAGCUAACGCGUGAAGUUGACCGCCUGGGGAGUACGGCCGCAAGGUUAAAACUCAAAGGAAUUGACGGGGACCCGCACAAGCGGUGGAUGAUGUGGAUUAAUUCGAUGCAACGCGAAAAACCUUACCUACCCUUGACAUGUCCGGAAGCCCUUAGAGAUUUGGGUGUGCUCGAAAGAGAGCCGGAACACAGGUGCUGCAUGGCUGUCGUCAGCUCGUGUCGUGAGAUGUUGGGUUAAGUCCCGCAACGAGCGCAACCCUUGUCGUUAAUUGCCAUCAUUUAGUUGGGCACUUUAACGAGACUGCCGGUGACAAACCGGAGGAAGGUGGGGAUGACGUCAAGUCCUCAUGGCCCUUAUGGGUAGGGCUUCACACGUCAUACAAUGGUCGGUACAAAGGGUUGCCAACCCGCGAGGGGGAGCUAAUCCCAGAAAGCCGAUCGUAGUCCGGAUUGCAGGCUGCAACUCGCCUGCAUGAAGUCGGAAUCGCUAGUAAUCGUGGAUCAGCAUGUCACGGUGAAUACGUUCCCGGGUCUUGUACACACCGCCCGUCACACCAUGGGAGCGGGUUCCGCCAGAAGUAGGUAGCCUAACCGCAAGGAGGGCGCUUACCACGGCGGGGUUCGUGACUGGGGUGAAGUCGUAACAAGGUA